CCUACGGGUGGCUGCAGUGGGGAAUAUUGGGCAAUGGACGCAAGCCUGACCCAGCAACGCCGCGUGAAGGAAGACGGCCCUCGGGUUGUAAACUUCUUUUGUCAGGGACGAAGACAGUGACGGUACCUGACGAAUAAGCCACGGCUAACUACGUGCCAGCAGCCGCGGCAAUACGUAGGUGGCAAGCGUUAUCCGGAUUUACUGGGUGUAAAGGGCGUGUAGGCGGGACUGCAAGUCAGAUGUGAAAUUCCAGGGCUCAACCACGGAACUGCAUUUGAAACUGUAGUUCUUGAGUGAUGGAGAGGCAGGCGGAAUGUCUGGUGUAGCGGUGAAAUGCGUAGAGAUAAGAAAGAACACCAGUGGCGAAGGCAGCCUGCUGGGCAUUAACUGACGCUGAGGCGCGAAAGCGUGGGGAGCAAACAGGAUUAGAUACCCGAGUAGUC
RNAcentral lists this ribosomal RNA (443 nucleotides) under uncultured bacterium. Its description in RNAcentral is "partial 16S ribosomal RNA". It matches the Rfam family "Bacterial small subunit ribosomal RNA", at positions 338 to 795 of the family's 1533-position model. The record is from RNAcentral.